RNAcentral lists this ribosomal RNA (1422 nucleotides) under uncultured bacterium. RNAcentral's name for it is "16S ribosomal RNA". It matches the Rfam family "Bacterial small subunit ribosomal RNA". The record is from RNAcentral.
AACGAACGCUGGCGGCAUGGCUAAGACAUGCAAGUCGAACGGAUCCCUACGGGGAUUAGUGGCGAAAGGGCGAGGAAUAACUAGGAACGUACCUGAUACUUUGGAAUAGCGUAGGGAAACCUGCAGUAAUGCCAAAUGAUCUCCUUCCGGAGCAAAGAUUUAUCGGUGUCAGAGCGGCCUAGUUCCUAUCAGCUAGUUGGUGAGGUAAUGGCUUACCAAGGCUAAGACGGGUAGCGGGACUGAGAGGUUGGUCCGCCGCAUCGGAACUGAGACACUGUCCGGACCUCCACGGAGGGCUGCAGUAACGAAUAUUGCGCAAUGGACGAAAGUCUGACGCAGCAAUGCCGCGUGUAGGAGGAAGCCCCUCGGGGUGUAAACUACUGUCAGGGACUCGAAAGCUUUUGUUGAUCAGUCCCAGAGGAAGUCACGGCUAACUUCGUGCCAGCAGCCGCGGUAAUACGAAGGUGGCAAGCGUUGUUCGGAAUUAUUGGGCUUAAAGCGCACGUAGGCGGAUUGGUAAGUGUCUUGUGAAAACCCUCGGCUUAACCGAGGAACUGCUCGGCAUACUACCAAUCUUGAGAUAUGUAGGGGCAAGCAGAACUCUUAGUGGAGCGGUGGAAUGCGUAGAUAUUAAGAGGAAUGCCAGUGGUGAAGACGGCUUGCUGGGCAUAUUCUGACGCCGAGGUGCGAAAGCGUGGGUAGCGAACGGGAUUAGAUACCCCGGUAGUCCACGCUGUAAACGAUGUCUACUAGGUUGUGGGGGUUCUGACGCCUUCACGACCAAAGCAAAAGUGUUAAGUAGACCGCCUGGGGAGUACGGUCGCAAGGCUAAAACUCAAAGGAAUUGACGGGGGCUCACACAAGCGGUGGAGCAUGUGGAUUAAUUCGAUGCAACGCGCAGAACCUUACCUAGGUUUGACAUUCUCGGAUGCAACCCAUGAAAGUGGGCUAUGCUACUCUUCGGAGUGGAAACUUGAACAGGUGCUGCAUGGCUGUCGUCAGCCCGUGUCGUGAGAUGUCGGGUUAAGUCCUUUAACGAGCGAAACCCCUACCGUUAGUUGCCAACAGGUAAUGCUGGGGACUCUAGCGGGACUGCCGGUGUUAAACCGGAGGAAGGCGGGGAUGACGUCAAGUCCUCAUGGCCUUUAUACCUAGGGCUUCACACGUGCUACAAUGGGUACUACAGAACGUUGCAAUGUCGCGAGGCGGAGCUAAUCGUUAAAAGUAUCCUCAGUUCGGAUUGUAGGCUGACAACUCGCCUACAUGAAGUUGGAAUCGCUAGUAAUCGCGUAUCAGCUACGACGCGGUGAAUAUGUUCCUGAGCCUUGUACACACCGCCCGUCGAGUGAUGGAAGUCGGGAGUACCCGAAGUCGGAUUGCUAACCCCUCGGGGAGGCGUCUGCCGACGGUAAGUUCGAUGAC